Molecule: transfer RNA, 82 nt
Filed under: Echinostoma caproni
Lineage: Eukaryota; Metazoa; Platyhelminthes; Trematoda; Plagiorchiida; Echinostomatidae
Rfam family: tRNA
About the family: Transfer RNA (tRNA) molecules are approximately 80 nucleotides in length. Their secondary structure includes four short double-helical elements and three loops (D, anti-codon, and T loops).
Source: Rfam by way of RNAcentral
GAUCUCGUAGCUCAGCCUGUAGAGCAUGCGCGUGAAAAGCGCAAGCGGCGUCCAUGCGCGGAUUCGAAACCCACCGAGGCUA